This 531-nucleotide long non-coding RNA is filed under the name Sinocyclocheilus anshuiensis. RNAcentral's name for it is "lncRNA (ENSSANG00000033339.1)". Lineage: Eukaryota; Metazoa; Chordata; Actinopteri; Cypriniformes; Cyprinidae. The record is from RNAcentral.
GCCAGCAGACCACCCCCCACAUGGAGCCAUACCUUCCCCUCUUGCCUUGAGAGACGACAGCAGGAGAACCCCUGACCUGAUGGGCAUGAGGGACGAGAUUUCUGUGUUUGGCACAUCACCCAAAGACCUUGCAGCAGGAAGCUUCAGAGGAACCCCACCUCCACUGCCACCUCCUACUUACAGGAGUGUGGUGGGCUCUCCGGGGCCUGGCAGUGGGCCGUCCUCUCCCGCACGUGCCGGCACUCCCCUGUCUGCUGGCAGUCCGAUCCCACCUCUACCACCAAGACCAUCAUCACGUCCUAAACUACCACCUGGAAAACCAAACCUAGCAGAUCUGGCCCGACCCUUCAGCCCCCCCAUCCACUCGUGGAGUCCUCCACCCUUUGCUCCUCUGGCCAGAGCUGAGAGCACCUCCUCCAUCUCCUCCGUCACCUCCCUGAGCGCAGCCUCCACACCUACACUAGGCCGAGAGCUCAACCUCUCUGUGUCAGGUGGGCCACAACAGAGCUGUCCCAUGUCAGUUAUUGCUGA